RNAcentral lists this ribosomal RNA (214 nucleotides) under uncultured Chloroflexota bacterium. Its description in RNAcentral is "uncultured Chloroflexi bacterium partial 16S ribosomal RNA". It matches the Rfam family "Bacterial small subunit ribosomal RNA", at positions 1170 to 1382 of the family's 1533-position model. Lineage: Bacteria; Bacillati; Chloroflexota. The record is from RNAcentral.
AAGGUGGGGAUGACGUCAAGUCAGCAUGGCCCUUAUACCUGGGCUACACACACGCUACAAUGGGUGGUACAAUUGGUUGCGACAGAGCGAUCUGGAGCUAAUCUAUAAAGCCUAUCCUCAGUUCGGAUUGCAGGCUGCAACUCGCCUGCAUGAAGCCGGAGUUGCUAGUAACCGCAGGUCAGCAUACUGCGGUGAAUACGUUCCGUCGGGCCUU